Molecule: ribosomal RNA, 497 nt
Filed under: uncultured bacterium
Lineage: Bacteria
Description: partial 16S ribosomal RNA
Rfam family: Bacterial small subunit ribosomal RNA
Source: RNAcentral
GAUGAACGCUGGCGGCGUGCCUAAUACAUGCCAGUCGAGCGAACGGACGAGAAGCUUGCUUCUCUGAUGUUAGCGGCGGACGGGUGAGUAACACGUGGAUAACCUACCUAUAAGACUGAGAUAACUUCGGGAAACCGGAGCUAAUACCGGAUAAUAUUUUGAACCGCAUGGUUCAAAAGUGAAAGACGGUCUUGCUGUCACUUAUAGAUGGAUCCGCGCUGCAUUAGCUAGUUGGUAAGGUAACGGCUUGCCAAGGCAACGAUGCAUAGCCGACCUGAGAGGGUGAUCGGCCACACUGGAACUGAGACACGGUCCAGACUCCUACGGGAGGCAGCAGUAGGGAAUCUUCCGCAAUGGGCGAAAGCCUGACGGAGCAACGCCGCGUGAGUGAUGAAGGUCUUCGGAUCGUAAAACUCUGUUAUUAGGGAAGAACAUAUGUGUAAGUAACUGUGCACAUCUUGACGGUACCUAAUCAGAAAGCCACGGCUAACUACGUG